GAUGAACGCUGGCGGCGUGCCUAAUACAUGCAAGUCGAGCGAACGGACGAGAAGCUUGCUUCUCUGAUGUUAGCGGCGGACGGGUGAGUAACACGUGGAUAACCUACCUAUAAGACUGGGAUAACUUCUGGAAACCGGAGCUAAUACCGGAUAAUAUUUUGAACCGCAUGGUUCAAAAGUGAAAGACGUUCUUGCUGUCACUUAUAGAUGGAUCCGCGCUGCAUUAGCUAGUUGGUAAGGUAACGGCUUACCAAGGCAACGAUGCAUAGCCGACCUGAGAGGGUGAUCGGCCACACUGGAACUGAGACACGGUCCAGACGCCUACGGGAGGCAGCAGUAGGGAAUCUUCCGCAAUGGGCGAAAGCCUGACGGAGCAACGCCGAGUGAGUGAUGAAGGUAUUCGGAUCGUAAAACUCUGUUAUUAGGGAAGAACAUAUGUGUAAGUAACUGUGCACAUCUUGAAGGUACCUAAUCAGAAAGCCACGGCUAACUACGUG
This 497-nucleotide ribosomal RNA is filed under the name uncultured bacterium. RNAcentral describes it as "partial 16S ribosomal RNA". It matches the Rfam family "Bacterial small subunit ribosomal RNA", at positions 28 to 507 of the family's 1533-position model. The record is from RNAcentral.